This is a long non-coding RNA of Passer domesticus (house sparrow), 3167 nucleotides long. RefSeq lists it as uncharacterized. NCBI's taxonomy places the organism in Eukaryota, Metazoa, Chordata, Aves, Passeriformes, Passeridae. The record is from RefSeq and is a predicted model, not a curated record. The transcript has 4 exons.
UCCCAGCGUUUGGCCAGGGAGGCGACUCCGCGGGCGGGGGUGGGCGCGGGAGGCUCUGGCGAGGAGCUCUGGGGCUUCCUGUUUCCUUCCGCGGCUCGAGCAGAAUUUGAAAGCAGCGGCUCCGUGAGCUGGACCAAUGAUCGGGGCACAGCGCGCCCGGGCCGCCCGCGCCCGUUACCGCGCCGGGCUGCGCCUCCGGCUCCUCCCGGGAACACCGGGAACACCGGGAACCACCGCCCACGGGAAACAGCAGAAGCAUGGCUGUCCCGCUGGGAUUAAGACUGGAAAGGCGGAUCUUGUCACCUUCCCAAUUAUUUAAUGGUGGGAAACAACUUCAGUCAGCACUUUGGGAUUUUUCCACCCAUUCCCAUGAAAACAUACCCACUCCUGGAUGUUCCCUCUCCCCAUCUCAGACGCUCUGGAGGAUGUGGGGAAGGAGCCGUGGAUCCGGUCAGGAAUGCCAGGACAUUUGGGAAGAGUAGAGCAGGUGGAGGUGAUGUGGAAAAAGCAGGAUCAUAGCAGCCUGACCUCUGUUUUGUGGGAAAGCCAACCCUGGGAGCAGCAAGGAAGUGCUGCAGGAGCUAUUUGGGAGCCAAAGAGGAUGGAUAAGGAUCCAGCAGCCAGCAUUCCAUCACCAACACUGCUCCUGGCCCCUCUUCCCACAGCCAAACCCGAGUGGAUGGAGCAGAAUCCACAAGCAGGGACAUGCUGAGUUGGGAACACUCAGCAGCUCAUCCUGGCGAGCCCAUCUUGCUUCACCCCCUGGGCUGGGCUGCCUUGGGAUUGGGAUUCUCUGCAGCAUUACUGCAUUGACUCGGGUUGCAACACCCCAAGGUGAGCAAGUUCAUGGGCUUAUAAAAACUCUUUCAAAACAGUCUUUGCAAGAGAAGUAAGUUUGAGGAGCAAAUCUCUUCUUUGCAGCAGUUGGGAUUUGGGAGCUGGGCUGGGAAUCCCACUGAAAGCUUCCCUAAAAGUGAAGGUGCUGGGCAGUGCAUCCCCCAAAACCCCCAAACUUUCCCUGCUUUUUUCUUUUUAAAAGUUUUCUCAUCACCAUCAGGUCCAGGCCCAACCCAACACCUCUACCCCAAAACCCUUGUGCAAACCUGGUGCCCUAAGGCUUCCAGCCCUGAUUUCAAGGUUAUUUUAAAUUUAUUUAAAGGUUAUUUUUCAUUGAUUUGAGGCCGCCGCCGCUGCUGAUUUGCCUGGUCCAGGCCACCCCCCGCCCGCGCAGCCUUUUCUCAUCUGAGUGAGCAAAACGCUCACCGCAGAGAGAGUUUCCAGAAAUGAUUCAGCCUUUCCCUUUGAGAGAAAUGGAAGGUGAAGAGGGGAAAGUUACCCUGCGUGGACAAUAGGAGGCAUUGAACUCGUCCCCGAUGCGCCGCAGCUCUUGCGCGAUCCAGAUUUCCGGCUGCACCUCUUCGGCUGGAGAGUGGGAUUGCCACCGGGAAGCUGCGUGGGAUGGAACAGGAGAGUUGGAAACCCAGGAAGAAGAACAAAUUGUACAGAAUUUACUACAUAAAACUCUCUAGGACUGACCCACUUCCAUGUGGAAAACUUCACGGCACGCAUCCAGCUGGACACUGCCAGGGCACAGGGAUUGAGGAGGAGGUGUGCAGGGCAAAGCCAGGGAUAUUUCCCAAGGAGAGCUGCAUGGGAAGUCACAGCCUGGGAGCUGCAGGCCUGGAUGGGGAUAAAACAGCUCUGUAGCUCCAUGUUCCCAGCUUAAUCCGUUCAGGAGUAUCCAGGAGUCCCAGUUAAACAGUACUGAGGAUUUUCCAUUUGCUUAUAGUUGUUUAGGAUGAUGCCCCUAGCAACACUCACAGAGCAAAGGCUCCAAUAAAACAGCUGAUGAGAGCACAGGAAUUUGGGGGGGGGGGGGGGAAAUCAGGGAAAACAUCAAUUUCUCCCCAGAUAAAAGAAACCGAAGCCUUGGCUCUCCCGGCAAGGAAUUCCGGGAGCAUCCCUGCCUGGCCGUGCCAGGGCGAGGUUGUGAAACACGAAUUAAGCUGUAAUUACUGCAACAGUGUCACAAAAUCUUUCCUAAGGGCACGUUACAGCCAGGCCUCCGCAGCCAGCGCCAGGAGGAAGCAAAAACACCACCAGCCAAAAAAGAUGGUGUUUAGAUGCCAGAAAGCUUGGAGCUGGUGUUUGUUAUCCCCCGUGCCCUGGUGGAAGCUGAAAGGUGGGAGUUCAAAGGUUUCCUCCGAUUAGAGGGAAUUCAUCAGGAGAGGGGAAUGCUGGACAUUCACGCAGCUCCCGCGGGCAGCUUUUCCCUGCUGGAGAGGCUUCACCUGGCAAAGCCACUGGUAAACACGCCCCCGCCCGCCUCCGGGCCGCUUCCCAGCGGGAUUUUGGGAUGCAUGACCCCAGCACCUCUGCCGCUGAUCGAUGAGAGAGCCGGCAGCGACGCCACGAGCCAGGAGCCACUUGUUUGGCAAAACAGCCUGGGACGAGCGAGCCCGGAGUAGGAAACUGGACUCAACAACUCUGUCCCCUCCUCCCCUGGCAGCAACUGACCGAGCCCGGAAAAGAAUAAACAUCAUAGUAAUAAAAACCCCGGCGCUGGACGCGCGGGAGUUCCCCGGCGCUGUGUUUGCCCGCGGGCCCGGCCAGCUUCCACAGAUCCCAGAGCGCCGGGAGAGCCUCCCGAAACCCGCGGGGUGGGAUGCGGAGGUGCUGCUGCAGGUGCCUGGCAUGGCUACCUGUGUUUUCCAACGUUCCAAGGGAAUCCCCUCGAGGCAAAGAGCAGGACCCCUCAUGCACCCCUCAACACCCCGCUGGCACUGUGCGCUCGCAGCUUCACACACCCCUCCUGUGCAUCCACACCUGUGCACAAACCCCGGCCCUUCACACGCCCACGAGAGAGAAUCCGUGUUUUCCGCCGUUCUGAGGAAAGCCAAGCCAGGUGAGGAGGGGAGGGCGAGGAAAGCCAAGCCAAGGUGAAGGGUCGGAAAAGCGCUCCUGCACUUUCGACCUGCCCCUGAACUGCGCAUUCACCCUCUCACAUCUCCCCCGGCACUUCACCCUCACACCUUCACACGCCCCCACAGGAACCGGGUUCUGAGGAAAGCCACGCCAGGUGAGGAGGGGGAGCGAGGGAAGCCACGCCAGGUGAGGAGGGGGAGCGAGGGCAGCCGAGCCCGGCGGGGAGGGAAGGAGGAGAAGGA